RNAcentral lists this ribosomal RNA (253 nucleotides) under uncultured bacterium. RNAcentral describes it as "partial 16S ribosomal RNA". It matches the Rfam family "Bacterial small subunit ribosomal RNA", at positions 524 to 776 of the family's 1533-position model. The record is from RNAcentral.
UACGUAGGCAGCGAGCGUUGUUCGGAGUUACUGGGCGUAAAGGGUGUGUAGGCGGUUGUUUAGGUUUGGUGUGAAAUCUCCCGGCUCAACUGGGAGGGUGCGCCGAAUACUGAGCGACUAGAGUGCGGGAGAGGAAAGUGGAGUUCCUGGUGUAGCGGUGAAAUGCGUAGAUAUCAGGAGGAACACCGGUGGUGUAGACGGCUUUCUGGACCGUAACUGACGCUGAGACACGAAAGCGUGGGUAGCAAACAGG